This 253-nucleotide ribosomal RNA is filed under the name uncultured bacterium. Its description in RNAcentral is "partial 16S ribosomal RNA". It matches the Rfam family "Bacterial small subunit ribosomal RNA", at positions 524 to 776 of the family's 1533-position model. The record is from RNAcentral.
UACGAAGGGGGCUAGCGUUGCUCGGAAUCACUGGGCGUAAAGCGCACGUAGGCGGAUCGUUAAGUCAGGGGUGAAAUCCUGGAGCUCAACUCCAGAACUGCCUUUGAUACUGGCGAUCUUGAGUCCGGGAGAGGUGAGUGGAACUGCGAGUGUAGAGGUGAAAUUCGUAGAUAUUCGCAAGAACACCAGUGGCGAAGGCGGCUCACUGGCCCGAUACUGACGCUGAGGCACGAAAGCGUGGGGAGCAAACAGG